RNAcentral lists this ribosomal RNA (467 nucleotides) under uncultured bacterium. Its description in RNAcentral is "partial 16S ribosomal RNA". It matches the Rfam family "Bacterial small subunit ribosomal RNA", at positions 28 to 507 of the family's 1533-position model. The record is from RNAcentral.
GACGAACGCUGGCGGCGUGCUUAACACAUGCAAGUCGAACGGAAAGGCCCUGCUUUUGUGGGGUGCUCGAGUGGCGAACGGGUGAGUAACACGUGAGUAACCUGCCCUUGACUUUGGGAUAACUUCAGGAAACUGGGGCUAAUACCGGAUAGGAGCUCCUGCUGCAUGGUGGGGUUGGAAAGUUUCGGCGGUUGGGGAUGGACUCGCGGCUUAUCAGCUUGUUGGUGGGGUAGUGGCUUACCGAGGCUUUGACGGGUAGCCGGCCUGAGAGGGUGACCGGCCACAUUGGGACUGAGAUACGGCCCAGACUCCUACGGGAGGCAGCAGUGGGGAAUAUUGCACAAUGGGCGGAAGCCUGAUGCAGCAACGCCGCGUGCGGGAUGACGGCCUUCGGGUUGUAAACCGCUUUCGCCUGUGACGAAGCGUGAGUGACGGUAAUGGGUAAAGAAGCACCGGCUAACUACGUG